GCAGACCGCCGUGGCCUUUCUCAUUCGGAAGCGUCGCUUAUCGGUGGGGUGUCCGGUAGAAUUUUCAAUUUUGAAAUAAUUGGGACAGAACUUUUUCGCUUAGUUAAGAUGCAGGAGAUUCAAGAGUGUAGUAGUGGUAGAUCGAAGCCAGCAUUGAAAACCUCCAGGUUCCAAAGCCUGAACGAACUUAGACAUUCAUUAAGUCGCGCGGUCGCCACGUGCAGCCCUGGCCGCUGAGACCGAGAGGGGUCGCUCGUGGGCAGCUGGCAGUCGGCAAGAGUUCCGGGCACCCUGACUUCGGUGAAGGUCGUUAGUUAACGCUGUCGAUACCGUGCGGCAGUCUGGAGUCUACUCCGGUGCUAUUUAAAUAGUAACGCCGCACGCUGAUACGCGCCACAGUGGACCCUCUGGGUAUCAAGAAAUCAAAAGUAAUAGGGAUGAAGUGUGUUAAGCAGCUUGCAGUGCACUGCCAAACGUGAUACUAAAGCUCAGCAGCUUGGGGAUUCAGUGGCGAAUGAUGUCUGGAAGCACCCGGUGCAGUAUUUUCAGUAUAGGCCUGAAUGUUAUUUUUCAUACGUAUGGCAUUUAAGGAGAAAAUUAGUGCUUUAUAAUUAUAAUUAAAUAAAAUGAUUUUUCAUCUCA
Molecule: long non-coding RNA, 642 nt
Organism: Manis javanica (Malayan pangolin)
Lineage: Eukaryota; Metazoa; Chordata; Mammalia; Pholidota; Manidae
Source: RefSeq, a predicted model, not a curated record